Molecule: long non-coding RNA, 733 nt
Filed under: Ananas comosus (pineapple)
Lineage: Eukaryota; Viridiplantae; Streptophyta; Magnoliopsida; Poales; Bromeliaceae
Description: long non-coding RNA (ACOM_LNC022461)
Source: RNAcentral
UAUUAUUUUUAUACUUUUGCUCCACUUAAAAUUUUAAGAAAUUUUUUUUUUUUCCAAACACCAGUAAAAUUAAGGAAAAACUUCAAAUACCACCCUUGUGGUUUCACACUUUCUCACUUUAGUAUCUUGUGGUUUAAAGUAUAUCAAUUUAGUGUCCUGUGGUUUCAUUUUUAUCUUUUUAUUAUCGAUUUCACUAAUUUUUUUGGUUAAAUCAGUGACAAAGUUAAAACUAAAGGGUACUAAAGUGAAUAUUUGAUAAACCUAGAUAGGGUAUCUGAAGUUUUUUGUAUAUAAUUUAAUGAAAUAUUAAUGAAAAAACAGGCGAAAAGAUAAAAAUGAAACCGCAGGACAUUAACUUAAUACACUUUAAAACACUGGGUACUAAAGUGAGAAAAUGCGAAACUACAGGGGUGGUAUUUGAAGUUUAUCCUAAAAUUAAUAGCUUUUGAAAGCAGAAGCAAAAGAGAGAUUAGUGAGGUUCUAAAGCCGAACAACAUAAAAAUGAAAGCCCCAAAUAAAUAAAUUGGAAAAAGUCUACAUAUGCAUCACAUCUGCGGUGUACAGUUUACACCCAUCCAUCUAAUGGAUGGGAUUCUUUUACUUGUCACAUCAUGUGACAAGCAAAAAAAUCUUUUUCAUUUAAUAGAUGGGUGUAAAUCAUAUACCAUCAAAUAAAGUGUAUGAAUAGCAUUACUCAAUAAACUGAUCCUAACAAUCGCAAGUAUGCCCCUUC